This 514-nucleotide ribosomal RNA is filed under the name uncultured Glomus. RNAcentral's name for it is "SSU rRNA". It matches the Rfam family "Eukaryotic small subunit ribosomal RNA", at positions 569 to 1085 of the family's 1831-position model. Lineage: Eukaryota; Fungi; Glomeromycota; Glomeromycetes; Glomerales; Glomeraceae. The record is from RNAcentral.
AGCAGCCGCGGUAAUUCCAGCUCCAAUAGCGUAUAUUAAAGUUGUUGCAGUUAAAAAGCUCGUAGUUGAAUUUCGGGAUCAAUUUGCUGGUCGUGCCUUCGGUACGCACUGGUAUUAUUGGUUUCUCCUUUCUGAUGAAUCGCGAUGUCAUUAAUUUGGUGUCGUGGGGAAUCAGGACCGUUACUUUGAAAAAAUUAGAGUGUUUAAAGCAGGCUCACGCUUGAAUACAUUAGCAUGGAAUAAUGAAAUAGGACGUUUGAUUCUAUUUUGUUGGUUUCUAGGAUCGACGUAAUGAUUAAUAGGGAUAGUUGGGGGCAUUAGUAUUCAAUUGUCAGAGGUGAAAUUCUUGGAUUUAUUGAAGACUAACUACUGCGAAAGCAUUUGCCAAGGAUGUUUUCAUUAAUCAAGAACGAAAGUUAGGGGAUCGAAGACGAUCAGAUACCGUCGUAGUCUUAACCAUAAACUAUGCCGACUAGGGAUCGGAUGAUGUUAAUUUUUAAUGACUCAUUCGGCG